GAGUUUGAUCAUGGCUCAGGAUGAACGCUGGCGGCAUGCCUAAGACAUGCAAGUCGAACGAAGUGGCCCAUAGAAGUGGAGUGCUUGCACAAAGCGGAAAUGGAUUCCCACUUAGUGGCAGACGGGUGAGUAACACGUGGGUAACCUACCUCAGAGACUGGGAUAACAGUUAGAAAUGACUGCUAAUACCGGAUAAUUUGUAAAAGGAAAACUUUUUAUACUAAAAGGAGCUUCGGCUUCACUUUGAGAUGGGCUUGCGGUGUAUUAGCUAGUUGGUGGGGUAAUGGCCUACCAAGGCAACGAUGCAUAUCCGAGCUGAGAGGCUGAUCGGACACACUGGGACUGAGACACGGCCCAGACUCCUACGGGAGACAGCAGUUAGGAAUAUUCGUCAAUGGGGGAAACCCUGAACGAGCAAUGCCGCGUGAGUGAUGAAGGCCCUAUGGGUUGUAAAACUCUGUUAUUUGGGAAGAAUGACUAGUAUAGGAAAUGAUAUUAGUUUGACGGUACCUUAUCAGAAAGCCCCGGCUAACUACGUGCCAGCAGCCGCGGUAA
This 555-nucleotide ribosomal RNA is filed under the name uncultured bacterium. Its description in RNAcentral is "bacterial SSU rRNA". It matches the Rfam family "Bacterial small subunit ribosomal RNA", at positions 9 to 523 of the family's 1533-position model. The record is from RNAcentral.